AGAACAACAAAGAGUGGCUUCUAUACCUAGUAUCUUCUUGGAUUCAAGCACGAGAGCUUUGGUCUCAAGAUGAAGAACCAGAAUAGUCCAAGUAAUUGAGGACUUUCAACCUGAAUAUAUGGAAUCAGCUUUAAUGUGUACUGUAUGUGGCCAGUCUGGACACCACAACUUCAGACUUAGAGUGGAAUCCUGAAAACAUUACUCGUUUGCUGGAGCAACAAGAGAUGUCAUCUAUGAAUGAAGUUUCUGGAGUUUGUUGGAACCAAGCUCGAGACAUAAGGUCAGAUAUUCCAGAAGCUGAUGAAAGAUCCCAAC
This is a long non-coding RNA of Aricia agestis (brown argus), 315 nucleotides long. RefSeq lists it as uncharacterized. The transcript has 3 exons. Lineage: Eukaryota; Metazoa; Arthropoda; Insecta; Lepidoptera; Lycaenidae. The record is from RefSeq and is a predicted model, not a curated record.